This is a long non-coding RNA of Hypomesus transpacificus, 2771 nucleotides long. RefSeq lists it as uncharacterized. Lineage: Eukaryota; Metazoa; Chordata; Actinopteri; Osmeriformes; Osmeridae. The record is from RefSeq and is a predicted model, not a curated record. The transcript has 4 exons.
ACCGUUCAGGUGGAGAGGACAGGAAGAGAAGCUUGUGUAGGUUGAUGGGAAAGUAGGCCUGCAAACUCGACCAACGGCAGGAAUUCCAGAGGGAGAAGGGGAGAUAACAGGGAACCUGUUUCUUCUAAACAGCGACGCUCUAACCUGAGGAGCUUCCAGCUGGAAGCCAGCCUGCGACAGGACCGGGGCUCUCCGGGGAUCGCGUCGAUACAUACCGGUGUGUGUGUGUGUGUGUAAGCUGAUAAUAGCAGCCCUAUUGGUAUUCUGUGGAGGGUGUCCCAGGAUCCGUCUGUGCUCUAGCCUAGGAUGGGAUCACAGAGAAGGGAUUGUGCUCUGCGCUGGAGAGGGCCUCUGAGAUGGGACUAACGCUCGGUGGAACAGCAUCUGUGUUCCUGAGGCGUGUUUUCCUCCACCACCAGUAGUCCCUGUUCUCAAAAUGGGAUCCGGCGCACGCCAGGUAUCAUCCAGCUUCUCUCCUCCGACCCCCCUGCUCCCUUCAGGCCCCCCCAGCCCUCAUCCCACCUGGACCCCAGCCACCACAACCCACGUCGGCGCAGCCACAUUCUGAUUCCAAAACCAAAGGGAUCGGCAGAGAACGAGAUUGGGGAAUUCCGUGCAACUGUUUGUCGAGUUCCUACAGGCGUCUUCGGGGGUACAAUCGCGGUUGAUUGUCAAUUUCACCCGCACCUGUUGAUUUAGCCUGCAUGACUUAAAGCUUUCGGGACACAUCGUACUGGAAUGACAAACCAAACUGUUCUCCCUUCGGACAGCAACAUGGGGAUUGCAGAAACAACGGGAUUUAUCAACUGGAUAUCCUGCGGAGAUUACGAGACUUUCUGUGUUCACUUCAAAGUUGGGCCGCUUUUCCACAUCAGUUUGUGGGCAAAAGCGAAUAAUUGAAACUCCAACCCGUUGGGAAACUUCUCUUCUGAUUUGUUUGGGGGGCUUAUUUUUUUUUUAAGAAGCAAUUUUCAAAGCCUCGCUCUUUUUUGUGUGUCUCCUUCUCUGUUUCUACUUUUUCAUCCAGAGAGCAGGAAUACAUUAUGAAUCGGCUCCAUUCUUUCUGAUCCUCCCCCGGUGACGGAGAGAGUGGAGGGACAAACUGUCCAGAAUAGAUAAGGAGGGAGGAGAGACAGAUUGAGAAAAAGGAGAAGAUAGAAGACGACAGGGGAACAGGUAGAGGGAGGGAGGGGAGGAGAGAGUGAGGGGAAAGCAAGAGAGAGAGAGAGAGAAUUAACUAGGAUUGUCAAAAAUCCUCCUGGAGACUUGCUGCCUCGGUCUAAUUCAUCUCUCCCUGUGCCCAGGUGCAGGUUGCUCGGGCGAGAUGGGUCGGGGUGGGGGCAGGAUUCAGAGGGAGGGAGGCAGCUGAGUUCCAGAGGAUCCGCUUCCCCCGGGCACAUCCCUGGGCUGGAACAAACAGAUUUGGAUAGUCGGUUAGACAGACGGACAAGGCAGCUAGACAACAAGACGGACGCACGGACAGACAGAGGGGCAGGUUGAUAGACAGUGAGCCAGAGGGGGGAAAAACCGCCAGCACAGACUCACAUCCAGAAACACAGCCGUCAUUAUCAUUCUAGUCUGUGUGGAAGUGAGUGAGAGGGUAAGGGAGAGAGAGAACAAGGGAGAGGGAAGGAGAGAGAGAGAGAGAGAGAGAGAGAGAGAGAGAGAGAGAGAGAGAGAGAGAGAGAGAGAAUGUCCCUUUUUUCACAGUUCCUGGAGGAACUCAGCCUUGUUGCAAUUAGGACCAUCUGACUGCAACUCCACCGCCGGCUUCGUGGCAAGCCCUGACACAAACAGACAGCGAGUGUUUUACUGGAGAGGAGGUAUAGGUUUCGAGAAGUAUCAGAGAGAGGAAGAGAGAGGGAGACAAACAGGCGGAGAGAGAGCAGGUGUCGGAAACCCUCCCCUUCAUCUGCUUGUCAUUUUCCCCGUUCAGUCGGCGUUUGGAGACACGGAGGCCUCACUAACCAGAAGGAACCAAAACACACAUAGGAGGAGGGCAGGAAAGAGAGAAAGGGAAGGCGAGGGAGGCCCCCUUUUUAAAACAGAAACAGAGAAAUAUUCCUCCCCCUUUUUUCUCAUCUGAACAAGACGGUCCUACAUCUACUGAGAAGACGAGAUAAAAAGUGAGAGCAACCUUUCUUUUCCCUCCCUUUCUUUCUCCAGGGGAAAACCCAACUCAGAGUCCUGUCGUCCAAACAUUGGAACCUCCUCUGGUAUUUUUGGUCUCACCCUUCCAAAUCACUCACCUCUGAGACGAUCCAUAACCUUCAGAUCCCCUCAACCGUACCCCAACACAGCUCUCUGAAGUGGCACCCCCCUUACCACACCUUCCACCACCCAGUAUCCACUACCCCUCCCUCCCUCCUACCCACACACACACCCCCCUCACGUACGCCCCCAACCAGUGGAUUCUAUCUUCAUGCCCGUGGAGGGCUUCUCUGAUCAACUUCCACACAGCUAAAUGGACGGCAGCUUCUGACACAGUCUGGUUUAUUCUGUAAGUAGGACAUUUCCUCUCUCCCGUUAUAUGUUUGUGUGUGUUGACGUGAAAUAGUGUGCUAUGUGUUGAGUGUGGGUAGCGUGAGCCUGGCUUAUGUCAUAUGUGCUUCCUUGGUUUCAUUUCUGAGCCCCGAGUUGGUUUUUCUGCUGCCUUCAAAGCGUCACAGAUCGCGUCGCCUCGGCUGCCUCAGCUUCAGGCGAUUUGAGUGUGUGUGUGUAGGACAAACAGAGAUUGCAUGCGUGAUCUGUGGAUAGCCAGGCUUACAGCA